UGCCAGCAGCCGCGGUAAUACGUAAGUCGCAAGCGUUAUCCGGAAUUAUUGGGCGUAAAGCGUCCGUAGGCGGUUUUGGUAGUCUGUAGUUAAAUCCCAGGGCUCAACCCUGGAAUCGUUACGGAAACUCCAAAACUUGAGGUAUGCAGGGGCAGAUGGAAUUCUAGAAGUAGGGGUAAAAUCCGUAGAUCUCUAGAGGAACACCAAACGCGAAGGCAUUCUGCUGGGCAUUACCUGACGCUGAGGGACGAAAGCGUGGGGAGCAAACGGGAUUAGAUA
This 279-nucleotide ribosomal RNA is filed under the name uncultured bacterium. Its description in RNAcentral is "partial 16S ribosomal RNA". It matches the Rfam family "Bacterial small subunit ribosomal RNA", at positions 506 to 784 of the family's 1533-position model. The record is from RNAcentral.